This is a long non-coding RNA of Solanum lycopersicum (tomato), 814 nucleotides long. RefSeq lists it as uncharacterized. Lineage: Eukaryota; Viridiplantae; Streptophyta; Magnoliopsida; Solanales; Solanaceae. The record is from RefSeq and is a predicted model, not a curated record.
ACUCUAUCCACUCUUCUUCUCCCUCUCAAAAUCGGAGGCCCUCCUCUCUUCCUCCCUCUUCUCUUCUCCCUUCCCUCUCCCUUUUUUCCUAUCCAGCCGCCUCUUCUCUUCUCCCUUCCCCUUCCCUUUCUCCCUUCUCUCACUGCAUUUUUCCUCUCCAGCCGUCUCUUCUAUUCUCCCUUCCCCCUCCCUUUCUCAAUUCUCUCCCUUCAUCCUCUCCUCUCUCCUCUCUACAACCGCCCCCUCUUCUUCUCCAGUGGAGGAGUAGCAGCGCAAGAACGCCGCCUCUACUCCCUUUUCUAGUGGACCGCAGCUGCGAGGAGAGCAAUAGCAGCCGGACAGCGAGCCUCCAUCACUAGCAGCAGCUCCAGCUGGCGACAAGAGUUCGACGACAUAGCGGCAACAACUUGGGUGAGUGACCAAGCAGUGUCGCCCUCUCCCUCGCCUUCUCUCUCGAUCGAGUAUGAAUGAUACCAACGGCAUUCUAGAAAAAUCUAUUAGCAACGAACUCUAGCAAGGCAGUUAGCCGGGCAACAAUUGCGGAACUCCGCACUCAUCAUCCACAAGAUUGGAACUACAUUUGACCUGAUUUCUACUUCGACAGGAUAUGUAAGCACCACGACGGCUCGAUCAUAUACCUAGUGUGAUUAUUACUUCUCCUUACAAUAAAAACUAGGACAAAAUUUUUGAAAAUAUUUCAAAAAUUCACAAUAGAGAUAGCCAACAAGUUAAUAUUGAAGAUCAUUUUGAGAUUUGCCAAAAUUCUAACUGGGACAAAAUUUUGAGAAAGUGCUGCGAAAAGCUUGAUAGAAAA